Non-coding RNA from Odocoileus virginianus texanus, 780 nucleotides. NCBI's taxonomy places the organism in Eukaryota, Metazoa, Chordata, Mammalia, Artiodactyla, Cervidae. The record is from RefSeq and is a predicted model, not a curated record.
UCCACUUGCCAUCAGGCCCACGGAGGCCGGCCCUGGGCGCUCAUCUCGCCUUUAGGACCCCGGGUGAAUCUCUCCUCCGGAGCCUCGUGUCAGAGUCAUGCUUGGCCUGAACGAGCGAGUCACCCACAAAACCCUGGGCCUGAGAGAGGGCAGCCCUGGCCUGGCCUUGGCAGAGAGGAGAAGUCCCGGCCACACCUCUGUGGUGACCAUUCUCCACCCAUCCACCGAGCUUCACUUCCUCAAAGCCUCUCCCCACCACGGACACAGGCCUCGGGGGUCUCUCUGCUCUCUCCUGGCUCCAGUCAACAACUGGGGAGAAAGAUGAACCGUGUGCUUCGCAGACGGUGGCUUCGGAAUGCUCCUGGGCUGCCUCAAACAAUGUGGCUUCUCUAUGUCCUGCCAGGAAAGCAGCAGGCAUUUCAGGAGGAGGCUGGUGUGUCCUUAGCUUCUUGUGUUGAGCAGCACAAAGAAUAGAAAAUGAAAGCAUUCUCGCCUCCCACUUCCCCCCACACAGCUGGGGACCAAGGGUGGCUCCCCUGUGUACACACGACAGCCCAUUAGACAAACCCUUUUCUGCGCAUAAGCAACUUUAGUGCCAGGGUUCACCUGGAUGCCCAGAAUGCUACUUACCAAGUCUUUCAGAGUCCCACAUGAUGUUUUACAACUAUCGCUCUACCUGUGUCUGCUUUGGUGAAUUUUAUGAUACAGAAAAAAUGCUUUAUUAGCCUAGUUUAAUCUCAUCAUGAGAGGAUUAAAAAAUAAAAAUCCCAAACCAAAAAA